RNAcentral lists this ribosomal RNA (294 nucleotides) under uncultured bacterium. RNAcentral's name for it is "partial 16S ribosomal RNA". It matches the Rfam family "Bacterial small subunit ribosomal RNA", at positions 29 to 355 of the family's 1533-position model. The record is from RNAcentral.
AACGAACGCUGGCGGCAUGCCUAACACAUGCAAGUCGAACGCUCCGCAAGGGGAGUGGCGAACGGGUGAGUAACGCGUGGGAACCUGCCCAGUAGUUGGGGAUAACCGCGGGAAACUGCGGCUAAUACCGAAUACGCCCUAAGGGGAAAGAUUAUCGCUAUUGGAGGGCCCGCGUCGGAUUAGCUGGUUGGUGAGGUAACGGCUCACCAAGGCGACGAUCCGUAGCUGGUCUGAGAGGAUGAUCAGCCACACUGGGACUUAGACACGGCCCAGACUCCUACGGGAGGCAGCAGU